CUGGAAGGGCGGUGGGAAACCCUGAGCCAGAAGUGGUUCUUAUUUUCGCUCAUGUGUGUGCAGUGAGUAUUUAGAGCAUAGGAUAUUGUGCUGCCCCUGAACCUUAUGACUUCCCAGAGGUGACCAACGUUUUAGCUAAAAACAUUUAGCUAAAUGUUUGAAUGGAAUUGUGCUUUAAAAUAAGGUACAACUUGCUGAGCAUGGUGGUGCAUGACUACAGUCCCAGCUACUCGGGAGGCUGAGGAGAAAGGCCCAGGAAUUCAAGUCCAGCCUGGGCAACAUAGCAAGACACGUCUCUACAUAAUAAUAAUAAUAAUUAAUACAUAAAAUAAGGUACAAGAUGCUGGGGGUAAAGAGAGAAGAGGAGGGGCAUCAUGUCAAGCCUCUCCAGGAGAAAGGACACACCUGCUGGAUUGUGUGAGGGAUUUAGAAUAGGGGCAUAUAAGGGAACACAGGGCAGUCAAUAAUUCUACACAGGCAGCAAAUUUGAUGCUGAAGGAUGACCAAUGUGGAUGCCAUGCCACUUAACGCUACUGUUGCAGCCGCAGAUCCUAGUAUUUGAAAUAUGCCUCAAGAAGGAAACACUUAAGAAGUGCUGAAUAAGAAUUCCAAUCCUGGCUUCAUCGCUAACUUGCUUUGGGAACUUGGGCUUUAAUUUGCUCAAAGCCUCAGUUUGCUCAUCUGUAAAUUGGGGCAAAUAACAUCUGUUCAACUUACCUACCAGAAAUGUUGUGUGGCUAAAAAGAAAUAGAAGAUAUGAAAAUGCUUUGGCUAUAUUCAAAGUUCUAUAUACAUGGAAGAUAUUCAGGAUCCUCCCACCUUCAAAGUUCAUAUCUAAGAAAACCCCUACUAAAUCCUUUAGAAUGGAACUGCUCAAUAUAGUAGCCACUAGCCACAUUGACUACUGAGUACUUAAAUGUGACUAGUGCAACUGAGGAACUGAAUUUUUAAUUUUAUUUAACUGUAACUAAUUUUAAUUGAAAAACUGAUACUCUAUUCAAUUACUGGAAAACUUUUAAGUACAUUUGGACCAACCUGGACUCGUGAAUUUACUUUUGUUCCCAGUGUUUUUUUCUAUUUUUUUAUUGAUAACAUAAUAGAUAUACAUAUUUUGAGUGUGUAUUCAAACAUUUAAUAUUAAUACAUUCAUAUAAUUUGUAAAGAUCAAAUCAGUGUAACUGGGAUAUCCAUUACCUUAAAUGAAUCUACUUUUUAAAUGGUAUUUAUAAAAUCUAAAUAUAUGUGAAGUGUUUCUGCUUAAAUUUAGUGUUUGAAUUGAGAUGUGCUCCAAGUGUACAACACACACCAAAUUUCAAAGACUUAGUUAAAAAAAAAACACUGGGAAGGGCAGGAGGAAGGGAGAGAUAGGGAGAGAUUUGUUAAAGGAUAUAAAAUUAUAGCUAGAUAGGAGGAAUAGGUUCUAGUGUAGUAUGGCCAUAGUUAACAAUAAUAUAUAGCUUCAAAGAGCUAGAAGGAGGAUAUUGAAUGUUUCCAACAUAAGCAUCAAUAUUUGAGAUUAUAGAUAUGCUAAUUACAGUGUUCUGAUCACUAUACAUUGUAUAUUGAAACAUCA
Molecule: long non-coding RNA, 1573 nt
Filed under: Homo sapiens (human)
Lineage: Eukaryota; Metazoa; Chordata; Mammalia; Primates; Hominidae
Description: HSALNT0194237
Source: RNAcentral